Long non-coding RNA from Ictalurus punctatus (channel catfish), 732 nucleotides. RefSeq lists it as uncharacterized. The transcript is spliced from 2 exons. Lineage: Eukaryota; Metazoa; Chordata; Actinopteri; Siluriformes; Ictaluridae. The record is from RefSeq and is a predicted model, not a curated record.
UCUCAUCGGCGUUGACCCGAGUGCCAUGCAGCAGGUGGAUGUAGAAGGGCUCUUGUAUGGACCACAGUGAUGAUGUGUUUUGCUGUUGAAAGAAGUCCAGGCAUUCAAAAAGUGUGCUGAGAGGAGAAUGCAAACCAGGCAGAGGUGGAGGUUUAGACUGAGAGCGGCUCUUGGAGACCUGGUUGCUCAAGCCCCCCUGCUCCUCUUGGUAUUUAGCGAUAGUGGAGUGAUGCACCAUGGUCACAUGGGGAGUCAGGCCUCCGUACAAGCAUGAGAAAAUGUACUGCAAAAAUACCAAACACAUGUAAGCCAUCUGAUUAAGAAUUUCCUCUACCAGAGCUCAGGGUAGGCUAUUGUGACGUAAAGGAGGGGAUCUGUGGGAGCAUGAGAGAGGGGUCUGCUUCAUUCAGACCAGAGCAAGACCAGGACAAGAGUCAUCAACAUCAAAUCUUGCAGCCUGUUCAUUUAGUUAGUGUAAUUCAGCUCAAAUCACAUUAUGCUCUCUGUAGUUGACUUUUAAAAGCCUACUAAAGGUGGAUGACUCAUCUCUGCAGGUACAGGCAGUUUCAAUAUCAACAACUGCCUCAGCAGUGCCAGACAAGCCAAAACACAUGUAAGCCUGAGAGCCUGUUGUUGCUGCAUCAGUUUAAUUAGAAUAAGUCCUUAUGACAGAGCAAAAAAAAAACACAGAGAUGAAGCAAGAUGAAUAAAGUUUGGAAUGUCUGGUCCUUA